AAUAUAUUUCAAAAACUGAAAAGAAACAUGUUGGAUCAUGCAUUCGAGAAGUCUAGGUCUUGGGCUGAUUUUUGUUAUGGCAAAAUCCAGGGCUUACUCUCUUAUUUCCUUUCUCUGUGUUGGUAUUUCCUGAAACCUCCUGGCUCCUAUGUUCCCAAUAUUACAGUAUAGAAGAAAGCAGACAAUUUCUUUAUACCUAGUUCCAGCAAAGAGCCUAAGAAGACUGUGAUGGUGCUGUGUGAUAUGUUCAUCUGCUUAGUGGUGCCUCAGUCUUGAAAAACCCACCAAGCCACAGGGAAUAAGGGUCAGGCACAGUAUCUUCCAAACCAGAUGGGUGGGGGUGAGGGUCCUUGGUUUUUUAAUAAGUAGGGCUAAUAUUUCCAAAAGGAAUGAGAAAGAUGACUGGACAGAAGUCACUUCAGAGAUUACACUCUCCUUAUAUCAUCACUUGGGGUAGGAUUUUAACAAGUGAUUGGGAAGGGACAUAAAUAUGCAGAACUUUGUAAGCAGUGAAAUUUGUCCUGUGUUUAUCUUUUUGUCUCACCAAUUCUGCCUGCAGAACAAACUGGCUAAGGAUUUUGAGGUCAAGCUUGCCAUCUUUAUAUCCUUUUAAUGAUGGAAAAAUUAGACAGAUAAGCCAUAUUCUUUGUGGUUUUACAUGAGAAGAUCUUCAUAUAAAGAGGUAGGAUAUAUGAAAAGAUCCUGACACUUGAUUUCUGUGUCACUGUGUUCCAUGAGAAUGAUUAUCAAAACAAGUAUUUUUUUUUCUCCACUUGGAACAGAGAAAUGUGAUCUCAAAACAUGAGUGUUUUAUAGGUCUUGAGUAUUUCCAUGCACUUUGAAUAUUAGGUCACAGGGAAAAAACUAAAACACAAUUCAAAUUUCUAAUAAACAGACCAAGCUAUCAACACCAUUUCUAUUAUAAUCAGGUUAAAGAGUUAAAAGUUUUAUAAAUUUAGUGUUAUUUAAAAACAAAUGACCAAAAUGAUGUAUUAAAAAAAAGAAGAAACUCAAAGCUUACUACUUAAGGGUAAAAAGAGAAGUUGGGGAGGCAAUUUUCUUAUGUAUGGAAAGGUAUUUUAGUAAGUAUUUAAAAAAUCAAGACGUAUGUUAAUUUUUCAAUUUGCUUUGUGACUUCCUGAACAAUUAUAAAGGAAGCAUUUUUCUUGA
Molecule: long non-coding RNA, 1170 nt
Filed under: Marmota monax (woodchuck)
Lineage: Eukaryota; Metazoa; Chordata; Mammalia; Rodentia; Sciuridae
Source: RNAcentral